RNAcentral lists this ribosomal RNA (468 nucleotides) under uncultured Gammaproteobacteria bacterium. RNAcentral's name for it is "bacterial SSU rRNA". It matches the Rfam family "Bacterial small subunit ribosomal RNA", at positions 30 to 500 of the family's 1533-position model. Lineage: Bacteria; Pseudomonadati; Pseudomonadota; Gammaproteobacteria. The record is from RNAcentral.
UGAACGCUGGCGGAAUGCUUAACACAUGCAAGUCGUGCGGUAACACUUCGGGUGACGAGCGGCGGACGGGUGCGUAACGCGUGAGAAUCUACCUUUUAGUGGGGGACAACUCGGGGAAACUCGGGCUAAUACCGCAUAUGUCCUACGGGAUAAAGCAGGGGACCUUCGGGCCUUGCGCUAAAAGAUGAGCUCGCGUGAGAUUAGCUUGUUGGUGAGGUAAAGGCUCACCAAGGCAACGAUCUCUAGCUGGUCUGAGAGGAUGAUCAGCCACACUGGGACUGAGACACGGCCCAGACUCCUACGGGAGGCAGCAGUGGGGAAUAUUGGACAAUGGGGGCAACCCUGAUCCAGCAAUUCCGCGUGUGUGAAGAAGGCCUGCGGGUUGUAAAGCACUUUCAGUAGCCAAGAUGGGAUUAUUCAUUAAUACUGGAUAGUCUUGACAUUAACUACAGAAGAAGCACCGGCUAA